This 246-nucleotide ribosomal RNA is filed under the name uncultured bacterium. Its description in RNAcentral is "partial 16S ribosomal RNA". It matches the Rfam family "Bacterial small subunit ribosomal RNA", at positions 15 to 245 of the family's 1533-position model. The record is from RNAcentral.
GAUCAUGGCUCAGGAUGAACGCUAGCUACAGGCUUAACACAUGCAAGUCGAGGGGGCAGCAUUUUAGUUUUGCUUGCAAACUGAAGAUGGCGACCGGCGCACGGGUGAGUAACACGUAUCCAACCUGCCGAUAACUCCGGGAUAGCCUUUCGAAAGAAAGAUUAAUACCGGAUAGCAUACGAAUAUCGCAUGAUUAUUUUUAAUUAAAGUAAUUUCGGUUAUCGAUGGGGAUGCGUUCCAUUUAGG